GUGGGGAAUCUUGCGCAAUGGGCGAAAGCCUGACGCAGCCAUGCCGCGUGAAUGAUGAAGGUCUUAGGAUUGUAAAAUUCUUUCACCGGGGACGAUAAUGACGGUACCCGGAGAAGAAGCUCCGGCUAACUUCGUGCCAGCAGCCGCGGUAAUACGAAGGGGGCUAGCGUUGCUCGGAAUUACUGGGCGUAAAGGGCGCGUAGGUGGACAGCUUAGUCAGAGGUGAAAGCCCAGGGCUCAACCUUGGAAUUGCCUUUGAUACUGGCUGUCUUGAGUUUGGGAGAGGUGAGUGGAACUCCGAGUGUAGAGGUGAAAUUCGUAGAUAUUCUGAAGAACACCAGUGGCGAAGGCGACUCACUGGCCCAAUACUGACGCUGAGGCGCGAAAGCGUGGGGAGCAAACAGGAUUAGAUACCCCAGUAGUCC
This 425-nucleotide ribosomal RNA is filed under the name uncultured bacterium. RNAcentral describes it as "partial 16S ribosomal RNA". It matches the Rfam family "Bacterial small subunit ribosomal RNA", at positions 354 to 796 of the family's 1533-position model. The record is from RNAcentral.